UAAGAUGCCCGCGCUCAAGGUGAUCGCCGACACAGUCGGGCGAUUGAAACGGGAAUCCGGUGGCGCGCGGCUCAUGCCGAACGCUCAAGCCGGAGCUGCCCCCGCAACGGUAGGCGAGUCAACGUAACGCUCUUGGCCACUGUGCUGAUGCACGGGAAGGCGCGUUACGGGAACCGCGAUCGGGUGUUCGCACCGAUCGCUUCCGCUCGCGAGCCCGGAGACCGGCCCGGAGCGCGAACCGACA
RNAcentral lists this non-coding RNA (244 nucleotides) under Lysobacter gummosus. Lineage: Bacteria; Pseudomonadati; Pseudomonadota; Gammaproteobacteria; Lysobacterales; Lysobacteraceae. The record is from RNAcentral.